AAAUGGGGCGGCCCUCCGAGGAAAACAAUAAAGCACAAAUGACAGGAACAGAUGGUCCUCUUUAUGGUGCCCUGAAAUGAAAACACUGAAUAGCUUUACUGGGUGGCAGUUUUUUUAUCCCCUCUCCUCUGCCUGGUUAUGGGCCGCUAACACCUCACCACCUGGUCGUACAGUAGUCAUUAACCACCUCUCCUCUUGGACCGUGGCGAGAUGUCGGGCGAGACACCAGAGGAGGAUAAUAACUGGGUAAAAAAAAGGCAGGGAUCCUGACAAACAUAUCCUAUGAAGACCUGAGCCCUAGGAUCAUGCCUCAGGACUACCUGGCCUGACGACUUCUAGCUGUCCCCAUCCCCAGUCCACCUGGUUGUGCUGCUGUCCUGUCUACAGCUAUAGAACCCUGACCUGUUCACCGGACGUGCUACCUUGCCCCGGACCUGCUGUUUCGACCCACUCUCUCUCCCUCUUCCUAGGUUCCUACCUUUCUAGGGAGUUGUUGCUACCCCCCGUGCUUUUACAUCUGCAUUGCUUGCUCUUUGGGGUUUCAGGCUCAGUUUCUGUAUAAGCACUUUGUGACACUUGCUGACGUAAAAAGGGAUUCUAAAUACAUCUGAUCUAUUGAGGGUACUUGUGUCGCAUGACACACUUUUAUUAAAACCUCUCUUGGGUAGGGUGAGACGUUAGCGUCCCACCUCUUCAACAGCCAGUGAAACUGCUGGGCGCCAAAUUCAAAUACAGAAAUACUCAUUAUAAAAAUUCAGAAAACAAAACAUAUUUUACUUAGGUUUAAAGAUUAACUUCUUGUGAAUCCAACCACGGUGUCAAAUUUAAAGAAUGCUUUACGGCGAAAGCAUACCUUACGAUUAUUUGAGAACAUAGCCCAUUAGACAAAUCCUUACAAACAGUAACCAGCCAAGUAGAACAGUUACACAAGUCAGAAAUAGAGAUAAAAUUAACCUUUUACGGGGGCAGCCCGACACCGGUACACUUAUGACAACAUCCAGCUCAAAGUGCAGGGCGCGAAAUUCAAAAUCUAUUUUUUUUUUAUAUUUAACUUUCACACAUUAACAAGUCCAAGACACCAGAUGAAAGGUGCACAUCUUGUGAAUCAAGCCAACAUGUCCCAUUUUUAAAAUGUUUUACAGGGAAGACAAAAUAUGUAAAUCUAUUAGCUAACCACGUUAGCAAAAGACUCCAUCAGUUUCUUGCUCCAUCAGGUGCUAUCACAAAUUCGACCAAAUAAAGAUAUAAAUAGCCACUAACCAAGAAACAAAUUCAUCAGAUGACAGUCUGAUAACAUAUUUAUUGUAUAGCAUAUGUUUUGUUUGAAAAAUUUGCAUAUUUCAUGUAUAAACCAUAGUUUACAUUUCAGCUACAAUCCGAAAUUGCACCGAAAGCAGACAGAAUAUUUACAGACACCAACGUCAAAUAGCUAAUUUGUUACGAUCGCUAACUUUUGCUACUGGGGAAUGGCUUGUGUUUCUGGCUAUUGUGGUAAGCUAAUAUACCGCUAUAUUGUGUUUCGCUGGAAAACACUUAAGAAAUCGGAAAUAUUGGCUGGAUUCACAAGAUGCUUGUCUUUCAUUUGCUGUACACUAUGUAUUUUUCAGAAAUGUUUUAUGAUGAGUAUUUAGGUAUUUGACGUUGGUAUCUGUAAUUAUUCUGGCUGCUUUCGGUGCAAUUUCUGAUUGUAGCUGCAAUGUAAACUAUGAUUUAUACCUGAAAUAUGCACAUUUUUCGAACAAAACAUAGAUUUAUUGAAUAACAUGUUAUAAGACUGUCAUCUGAUGAAGUUGUUUGUUGGUUAGUUUGGUUGGUUCUUGGUUAGUUAGGUUGGCAUUGUGCAUGCUACCUGUGCUGUGAAAAAUGUCUGUCCUUUUUUGUAUUUGGUUGUGAGCUAACAUAAAUAUACGUGCUGUUUUCGCUGUAAAACAUUUUAAAAAUCGGACAUGUUGGCUGGAUUCACCAGAUGUGUACCUUUCAUUUGCUGUAUUGGACUUGUUAAUGAACCUUUUCUCAAUAGGGGGUGCUGUUUGCACUUUGUAAUAAUUUUGUUCCCAAAUUAAACUGCCUCGUACUCAA
This is a long non-coding RNA of Salvelinus fontinalis (brook trout), 2079 nucleotides long. RefSeq lists it as uncharacterized. The record is from RefSeq and is a predicted model, not a curated record. The transcript is spliced from 2 exons. Lineage: Eukaryota; Metazoa; Chordata; Actinopteri; Salmoniformes; Salmonidae.